This 460-nucleotide ribosomal RNA is filed under the name uncultured bacterium. RNAcentral describes it as "partial 16S ribosomal RNA". It matches the Rfam family "Bacterial small subunit ribosomal RNA", at positions 338 to 795 of the family's 1533-position model. The record is from RNAcentral.
CCUACGGGAGGCAGCAGUGAGGAAUAUUGGUGAAUGGACGAGAGCCUGAACCAGCCAAGUAGCGUGAAGGAUGACUGUCCUAUGGGUUGUAAACCUCUUUUAUAAAGGAAUAAAGCGAGGCACGUGUGCCUUUUUGCAUGUACUUUAUGAAUAAGGAUCGGCUAACUCCGUGCCAGCAGCCGCGGUAAUACGGAGGAUCCGAGCGUUAUCCGGAUUUAUUGGGUUUAAAGGGAGCGUAGAUGGGUUUUUAAGUCAGUUGUGAAAGUUUGCGGCUCAACCGUAAAAUUGCAGUUGAUACUGGCAGUCUUGAGUAUAGUUGAGGCAGGCGGAAUGCGUGGUGUAGCGGUGAAAUGCUUAGAUAUCACGAAGAACCCCGAUUGCGAAGGCAGCUUACUAAGCCGUGACUGACAUUGAUGCUCGAAAGUGUGGGUAUCAAACAGGAUUAGAUACCCUGGUAGUC